CCUACGGGAGGCAGCAGUGGGGGAUAUUGCACAAUGGGGGAAACCCUGUUGCAGCGACGCCGCGUGGGUGAAGAAGUAUUUCGGUAUGUAAAGCCCUAUCAGCGGGGAAGAAAGAAGAGGGUACCGGACUAGAAAGCCCGGGCUAACUACGGGCCAGCAGCCGCGGUAAAACGUAGGGGGCGGGCGUUAUCCGGUUUCACUGGGUGUAAAGGGGGCGUAGACGGCCGUGCAAGCCAGGAGUGAAAGCCCGGGGCCCAACCCCGGGACUGCUCUUGGAACUGUGCGGCUAGAGUGCGGGAGGGGCAGGCGGAAUUCCUGGUGUAGCGGUGAAAUGCGUAGAUAUCAGGAGGAACACCGGCGGCGAAGGCGGCCUGCUGGACCGCGACUGACGUUGAGGCUCGAAAGCGUGGGGAGCGAACAGGAUUAGAUACCCUAGUAGUC
Molecule: ribosomal RNA, 441 nt
Filed under: uncultured bacterium
Lineage: Bacteria
Description: partial 16S ribosomal RNA
Rfam family: Bacterial small subunit ribosomal RNA
Source: RNAcentral